UAAAAGGAGCCCUUGCUCACCAUGCGCACGUCAGAUAAACUAACAAAUCUAGUCAUUAUCUUAAUAAGUGUAUUGAACUUAGAUAAGGUAAUACAAAUGAGAGGGUAUUGAUAUCAAUAUAUUAAUCUAAAAGAUUAGAAUACAACAACAAGGACCUCUUGCCUACCACUUACAAGCUGAUUAAGCUAACAAAUCUAAUUAAUAUCAUGAUAAGUGUAUUGAACUUAGACAAGAUAACACAAAUGAAAGGACAUUAAACUUUGACCCAC
RNAcentral lists this long non-coding RNA (269 nucleotides) under Setaria viridis. Its description in RNAcentral is "long non-coding RNA (SVIR_LNC003032)". The record is from RNAcentral. Lineage: Eukaryota; Viridiplantae; Streptophyta; Magnoliopsida; Poales; Poaceae.